Molecule: RNA transcript, 2812 nt
Organism: Pyrus x bretschneideri (Chinese white pear)
Lineage: Eukaryota; Viridiplantae; Streptophyta; Magnoliopsida; Rosales; Rosaceae
Exons: 7
Source: RefSeq, a predicted model, not a curated record
UUUAAAAACACAGGAGGAGAGAAGAAGAAGAGAGAGAGAGGAGAGAGAAAACCAAAACAACGUUUCAGAAAACACCACCAAAGAGAAGAAGAAGAGUUGUUUUGGAUUCAUUUCAAAAGCUCCUCCGUCUCUGCGUCUCUUCGUUUCAAAACCCUGGCCCCUCUUCCUUCUCUACCUUCCGCUGCCGCAAUUUCCAUGGCAUCAGCGUUGGUCUUGCAGCAAUAGUUCUAUAUUUCCGGUUUUGCCCCUAUACUCGCGCCGGGGAAUGGCGGAUAAGCCAACGCCUCCGCCGCCGUUUCGUCUGAACUUUUUGUGCUCGGCUAGGGUUUCGAUUUCAGUUCCAGUGAGCUCCGUGAGGAGCCCGACAUAAGAUACGGCUGGGGAGCGCCGCCGCCGUCUGAUCAAAAUCGGUGUUUUCGUUCGCUCGUGUAUAUAAUUGGAGGAGAUAGAGAAAGCGACGGCCGUCGGUUCGGAUCAUUUCUGUUGCUUGUUGUUGUUGAAAUGGCGAAGGGAGGUUACUUCUUGGAGAAGGUUCGGAGAUGCGUACGGACGGUGUUCUUCAUGGUGGCGAUGGUGGUGUCGCUGCUUGUGUCGUCGCUGCCGGUGCUGGUGGCGAUAGGGGACAUGCUGGUGCCGUGCGUGUUGAUAUCCAGCUUCACGUGCGUCACGUGCUACGGAUUCAAAGAGCAUUUGCAUCGAUAUGCCUUCAAGAGCUCGCUCACCGAUAUUCCUCUGGUCUCCUUUAUCAGAUCUCUCAUCAUUAUCUGCGUGUAUUCCAUGUGCGAUGGCCCUGCUCUCUCACACGGUCCAUACCUUGGAACUGUGACUUUCUGUUCCUUUGUCUCAAUUCUUCUUCUUUCAAUCAAAGCAUGUCUUUUCACUGUAAAUUCUCAAAUAGAGGCUGAAGCUUCAUCUUCCCUCUCAAGGCAGAAGCUCCACUUGAAGAAGUCAUGGGGAAUGCCUGUCUUGUUUCUCUCAUCAGUAGUGUUUGCCCUUGGUCAUACUGUGGUUGCUUAUAGAACAAGUUGCAGAGCAAGGAGGAAGCUCAUGUUUCACCGAGUUGAUCCGGAAGCUGUCCUUUCUUGCAAAAAUGUAUUCUCUGGCUAUCAGAAGGUCCCAAGAUCUCCCACACCGUCAGGAGGAAGAACCCCAAAAAGUGACAGUGAAAUGAGGCGUAAGCCUUUUUCUACAGCUCGAGAUGGUGAACUCCCAGUCAGAGUAAUUGCAGAUAUUGACAGCUUAUUCAUGACGUGCAGGGGGCUUACUCUUCAUUACAAGCUUAGCUUGCCUGGUUCACCACCUCGUUCCUUGUCAUCUACUGCGUUUCUUGAACCCAGCUCCCCAAAAAUGGCUAUAGGGAGGCCAAAACUUGAUAGACAUCCAUUAAGUUUGUUAUCAAAAGGCCAAAACCAUCUCCACAGGAGCUACAGCAAUCAAUUUCAUGGCUCAUCUCUAUAUGUACCUUUAUUGGAUGGUUCUAUGGUUUCUCCUGUUCUUUCUGAAGAGAUUCCUGCCUUGAGACUAUCCAAUGCUGGCGAAGAGGAUGAGGGUAGUACAUUAAAUUUUGGUACUCUAAACAAAGAAUGGAAGGAAGUGGUCAGUUUGGUAUUGUAUUAGUGCAUGGCUUUGGGGGAGGAGUCUUUUCAUGGAGGCAUGUGAUGGGGACCCUUUCUCGGCAAGUUGGUUGCACAGUUGCUGCUUUUGAUCGCCCUGGUUGGGGCCUAACCUCAAGGCUGCGACCGGAAGAUUGGGAGGAUAAAGAAAUGCCUAAUCCUUAUAAACUUGAAUCUCAGAUUGACCUGCUUCUUUCUUUCUGCUCUGAGAUGGGAUUUUCCUCAGUGGUGCUUGUUGGUCAUGAUGAUGGAGGCCUUCUGGCUUUGAUGGCUGCACAAAAAGUACAAGCAUCAGUGAAUUCUUUCAACGUUACAAUCAAAGGUGUAGUAUUGUUAAAUGUUAGCUUGUCAAGAGAAGUGGUGCCUGCUUUUGCGAGGAUACUCUUGAGAACUUCACUUGGGAAAAAGCACCUGGUUCGUCCAUUACUGCGAACAGAAAUUACACAAGUAGUAAAUAGGCGUGCCUGGUAUGAUGCGACAAAGUUGACAACGGACGUUUUGAGCCUUUAUAAGGCCCCUCUAUGUCUAGAAGGAUGGGAUGAAGCACUCCAUGAGAUAGGUAGAUUGUCAUACGAGACACUUCUUUCACCAAAAAAUGCAGAAUCAUUACUGAAGGCAGUUGAAGACAUGCCAGUGUUAGUCAUCGCUGGCGCUGAGGAUGCCCUUGUCUCUCUUAAAUCUUCCCAAGCUAUGGCUUCCAAACUUGUAAAUUCUAGACUAGUAGCGAUAUCCGGAUGUGGCCAUCUUCCCCACGAAGAGUGUCCCAAGGCAUUACUUGCAGCAAUGACACCCUUCUUAAGCAGACUCUUGGGCAAACAAGACAUGCAAAGCCAAUAGUGUACCUUCUUUUUAACUUCUAAUUAGGGUUUUUAUCUGUCGUAGGGUUACCUUUGUUUCUUUUUUGUCGUCGUCGUUUUUCGUGUUAAGAAAUUUAGCGGCCGAGGGGAAGAGACUAACGUCAUCUCUUCUUCUUGGUUUUAUUGAUGUCUUAGUUUGGAGCCUUACCCAUACCUACAUUCUUUAGGGUUUUAGAGCUCGUUCACUUGUAAUUUUCCUCUCCUUUUUUACCCCUUUCAGAAGUAUUUUUAUUUAUCUUUUGUUGUUUGAAUAGUACUUGUUAUUUUCCACCGAAGGGCGGUGGAAGAUACAUAUUUGUACAUUUAUCAGUGCUUGAAUUUAAGUAUGGUUUUGCUCCACAA